Molecule: long non-coding RNA, 16268 nt
Filed under: Manihot esculenta (cassava)
Lineage: Eukaryota; Viridiplantae; Streptophyta; Magnoliopsida; Malpighiales; Euphorbiaceae
Description: long non-coding RNA (MESC_LNC005245)
Source: RNAcentral
ACAUCAAGCUUGGUUCAACAUAUAUCAUCAUUAAAUAUUAACAUAAGAUCAUGUACAAAAAGGGAUUAACCAUAUAUUAGGGCCAAGCACAAUACUAAUCCUCAUUACAUCACUGGACAAUACCUUACAUAACAUUACAUUAUUUUACAUAUCAUGUCCACUACUAAUCUAUUAUAUAGACAUAGUUUUUACCCUUGAUGACUUCUCGGUCUAUCCUGAACCUGCAAACCUGGGGGUUAGAGGAAAAGGGUGAGCUACAAGAGCCCAGUGAGCAGAACAACAAAACUGUUUAUAAACACAUGCCAUCAUGAAAUGCAUCACAUCACAAACAAUUCACAUCACGGAUGGAUUUGUCACCAAUAACCCUCUACAUAAUCCAAUUGUGCCAGGGGCAUAGUGCAGACCACACCUGGUCUUUCUCUUACAUAUACAUAUCAUAACAUUAUCCAACCAUGCCGAGGGCGUAGUGCAGGCCACACCCGGACUUUCUCUUACAUAGUGCUAGGGGCGUAGUGCAGGCCACACCUGGUCUUCCAUAUCAUAAUAUAGCAUAUCAUAUCGAGGGCUAAUGGAUCAUCCAAUAUCCAUCCACAUCAACAGCAAAUUAUGCAAUGCAUCAUAUUCGUGAUUUCUAAUGCAACAACCUAUAAACAUGGCAAUCGUGAUGCAUGAAAAUGCUUAGGAGUUUAAUUACUUUCAAAAUAGAAAGUAGUUCUAUUCUACUCACCUCUGGCUGACUCUAAACUAACUCUGAAGCAGCUAACACUGCUGGCCUCCUUGGUUCCUCGGGUCUGAUCCUACACAGGUGGACUCAAAUGAGGGACCAAACAUACUCUAUAAAGACUCAAAAAAAACUCCCCAAAAACCCCCUAAAACAUCACCAAAACAUGCAUAGAAAACAUGCAAAAGGAGGCUGAACAAGGCACUUUUGGCGGCAGGUUCGGUGGCCAAAAGUCCCUCCAGAGCCGAAAGUCAGGCACUUUCGGGAGCAGGGUUCAGCGGCCGAAACUCCUUCCAGAGCCGAAAGUCACCCACUUUUGGGGUCAAGUUCGGCGGCCGAAACCUCCCUCCAGAGCCGAAAGUCCAACUUUCGGGGGCGAGGUUUGGCGGCCUAAACUGCCUUCCCUGGCAGGUUUGGCGGCUGAACCUUGCUUCGGCGGCCGAACCUGGAUCUUUCUGAGUGGCAAAAUCCGAUUCUGCCAUCCCACACUCAGCCAUCCCAACUUUUCAACAUGCAUUCAACUAUUCUAAAACAUGCAUAAACACUUAUUCAAGCAUAUAGGGGCAUAAAACUAGCCUAUACCCCAACAAACAUCACAUUAAGCAUACAUUUAACAUUUAACUAACAUAAACCCUAACAUUUUACCCCUAGCCUAAACAUGCAUCAAAACCCUUAACCCCUUCUUAAAACUUACUUAAAACAUGAAAGAAGAGAAGGAUCUACACUUACCUCUUGAAGCUCGAGAGGAGGGUGAUCCAAACUUGGAGAUUGGGAGAGAUCGAGCUCCGGGAGUCUCCAAGCUUCAAAAACUUGAUCUUAGCUUAAAAAUCUUCAAGACAAAGUAAAAACUCAUCAAAAACCUGAAGGGAUUGAAGAAAAACAACAAAUCGACCAUGGAAGGGUGAAAUCUCACCUAUGCUCGAAAAUAGAGAGAGAAAACUCGCCCAUUUUCGGACAAGGGGCCUUUUAUAGGUGGCUGGCCAGACCACCUUCGGGGGCCAAAGGUGCCUCCGCAAGAGGCCAAUGUUCGGCGGCCGAACCUGGCUUUUUCCUUCCUUGGUCUUUUCUUUCAAAACUCAAUUUCUUUCUUUAUUAAAACUAUAAAAACACAUAAAAACACUUUAGAAAACCAUAUUUUACCCUUCUAGAGGGUUUCGACAUCCGAGAUUCCGCCGAAAAGUGGGAAUUCCGAUGCUGGAGUCUAGUCGGGUAUUACAUUCUUGCAGAAAGAAAAAUAAGCUACUUGGAAACCGUGCAGCAGAGGAGGAAUGAAUCCCUGAGAGAGUAUGUGGCCAAAUUCAACUCUGAAGCUUUGCUAAUACUCGAGCUAGAUGAGGGAAGGGCAGUAGAAGCCAUGCAGAAAGGCACAAGCUCCACGGAGUUCUUUGAGUCGCUAUGCAGAAAGCCCCUUACUACCUUGUCAGAGAUAAUAAAAAGAGCAAAGAAAUAUAUAAGGCAGGAUGAUGCCUUGACAACUAGCUGAUUUUCCAGGGAUGAUAGAGAAAGAGGCAGAGUUGGGGAGGACAAGAGACAAGACAGGUCAUAGAGGAGACAGGACCAAGGACCGGAGGCAUUGAACAAACACAAAUGGGAAAGAAAGGAACAGAGACCUUAUCAACCUUGGCUCCCCACUGAGGUCACUCCCCUGAAUGUGUCUAGAGCCGAAGUGCUCGUAGCAGUCCAGGACAAAGAUUUUGUGCAAUGGUCCAAGCCCAUGAAAGCAGAGGUAAGCCGAAGGGACUCGGAUAAAUACUGCCAAACCACAGAACACACGGCCAUGACACAAACAACUAUUAUUAGUUAAUAAACGAGAUAGAAAGGUUGAUUAAGAGAGGCCAUCUUCAAAAUUUUAUAAAGAAGCCAGAGGGCCAGAGAGCCAGAGGCAACAAGAAGGUGCAGCUGGAGAAAUGCCUAGGAGAUAGAUCGUAGCACCAAUAAACGACGACUCCAGCGGAACAAUCAACAUGAUUGUCGGGAGGACUGGAGGCUAUAUGAGUAGGAAAGGGAAGAAGAGAGGUAAAAAUGAAAAUGAAAGCGGCGCGAAAGUGAUGCAAGUCACUGAGCACUCCCCAAUAGCCAUCUCCUUUUCCUCAAAGGAUGCACAGGGGGUGCAGAUGCCCCACAAUGAUGCCUUGGUCAUCAAAGUAGUCAUCCAUAACUUCAGGGUUCAUAAGGUGCUCGUAGACGACGGCAACAAAGUGAAUCUAUAACCCUACCGGGUCUUCCAACAGAUGAAAAUACUCGAAGAGCAGCUCGUCAGGGACCAAGCUCGAGUCAAAGGGAUAGGGAGAACCCCAGUAGUGGUAGAAGGUAAUGUGAAAGUAGCCCUCACUCUAGGAGAGCUACCCUUGUCACGGACUCACUACAUAGUUUUCCUGGUGGUGAAGUUACCUCUGAGUUACAAUGCCAUCUUGGAAAGACUAAUACUGUAUGAUUUUGAAGCAGUGACUAGCAUUCAAUAUCUAACCAUUAAGUUCCCAAUAGAGGCAAGGGUCGAAAUCGUCUAGGGAAGGCAGGAGGAGUCCAGAGCUGUAUACCUGGCCACGGUAGAGGAACAAUGCACCCCAACAGAGGAGAUAAACCCUGAAAUUAUGAAGGUCAGAGAUGAAAGGAAGGAGGCCAUGACNNNNNNNNNNNNNNNNNNNNNNNNNNNNNNNNNNNNNNNNNNNNNNNNNNNNNNNNNNNNNNNNNNNNNNNNNNNNNNNNNNNNNNNNNNNNNNNNNNNNNNNNNNNNNNNNNNNNNNNNNNNNNNNNNNNNNNNNNNNNNNNNNNNNNNNNNNNNNNNNNNNNNNNNNNNNNNNNNNNNNNNNNNNNNNNNNNNNNNNNNNNNNNNNNNNNNNNNNNNNNNNNNNNNNNNNNNNNNNNNNNNNNNNNNNNNNNNNNNNNNNNNNNNNNNNNNNNNNNNNNNNNNNNNNNNNNNNNNNNNNNNNNNNNNNNNNNNNNNNNNNNNNNNNNNNNNNNNNNNNNNNNNNNNNNNNNNNNNNNNNNNNNNNNNNNNNNNNNNNNNNNNNNNNNNNNNNNNNNNNNNNNNNNNNNNNNNNNNNNNNNNNNNNNNNNNNNNNNNNNNNNNNNNNNNNNNNNNNNNNNNNNNNNNNNNNNNNNNNNNNNNNNNNNNNNNNNNNNNNNNNNNNNNNNNNNNNNNNNNNNNNNNNNNNNNNNNNNNNNNNNNNNNNNNNNNNNNNNNNNNNNNNNNNNNNNNNNNNNNNNNNNNNNNNNNNNNNNNNNNNNNNNNNNNNNNNNNNNNNNNNNNNNNNNNNNNNNNNNNNNNNNNNNNNNNNNNNNNNNNNNNNNNNNNNNNNNNNNNNNNNNNNNNNNNNNNNNNNNNNNNNNNNNNNNNNNNNNNNNNNNNNNNNNNNNNNNNNNNNNNNNNNNNNNNNNNNNNNNNNNNNNNNNNNNNNNNNNNNNNNNNNNNNNNNNNNNNNNNNNNNNNNNNNNNNCUUUCUGACUCUUUCCUUAUUUGGCACUUUCCAUAUAUGAAGACUUUCCAUAUAUGAAGACUUUCCUUAUUUGGAACUUUCCAUAUAUGAAAACUUUCCUUUUCUGGAACUUUCCAUAUUUGGCACUUUUUGGCAGUUUUAAGAGCAUUUUCUCCAGAUUGUCUCUUUACACCUAAUAUCUGCAAAACAUGGUUAAAACCGCAAAAUUAGGUAGAAAAGGUGUAAAUAAACAUCAAGAUUAUCAUGAUAAAGUGGGCUAAAUUAUGCUCUGUCACUAAGCCAAUGAAACAGAAGAAGAGAAUCUUUGGGAAGGAGGAGCAAUAGGCCACAAGGGACAACGUGGAGAAAUUAGAAAAGGCUGGGUUUAUUAGGGGAAGUAAUGUGUCCAUAGUGGUUAGCUAACCCUGUGUUAGUAAAAAUGGCCAACGGGAAGUAUAGGAUAUGUACAGACUUCACCAACCUAAACCAGGUCUGUCCAAAAGAUUGUUAUCUCCUCAUAGAUAUUAAUAAAAUGGUCGAUUCUACUGCUGGUUUUGAGUACUUAUCGUCUGUAGAUACAAUAUCGGGAUAUCACCAAAUCCCCAUGGAUAAGUCAGAUGAAGAGAAGACCUCCAUUAUAACUGAAGAUGAGACAUAUUGCUAUAAGGCUAUGCCUUGUGGGUUGAAAAAUGCCGGGGCAACAUACUAGCAACUGAUGAAUAAAAUCUUCAAAGACCAGAUAGGGAGAAAUGUAAAGGUGUGUGUCGAUGACAUGGUAGUUAAAAGCCAAACCUUCUACCAACAUCUGACUGAUCUAGAAGAAGUCUUUCGAGUACUGUAGCGGUACAGAAUGAGGUUGAAUCCUGCGAAAUGUGCUUUUUUCAUCAUAGGAGGAAAAUUUUUAGGCUAUAUAGUCAGUGUGAAAGGUAUAGAGCCAAACCUAGAAAAGGAAGAAGUCAUAUUGAACAUGCCUGAAUCGACCUGUGUGAGGGAUAUACAGAGGCUAACAGGGAGAGUAGUAGCACUUAAUAGAUUCAUGUCCAGAUCUGUAAAGAGAUGUCUACCCUUCUUCAAGAAUUUAAGGAAAGUCCCAAAUUUUGAAUGGUCGGAGGAUUGCCGAGAGACUUUCAAGAGCCUUAAGAAAUAUUUUAACUCCCCACAUGUGCUUAGCAGUCCUUUGGCAUGGGAAGAGCUGUUGAUCUACUUAUCUGCAUCAGAAUAGGCGGUAAGUGCCAUACUGAUAAGGGAAGAGGCAGGGAUUCAGAAGUCGGUCUCUAUGUCAGCAAAGUACUUAAGGACGCCAAGAUCAUGUAUAUGAACAUAGAAAAUUUGGCAUUUUCUCUAUUACUAGCCGUAAGGAAAUUCAGAAUGUAUCUAGAGGAUCGCCAAGGAGUGGUAAUGAUUGAUCAUCCUUUGAAAAAGAUCAUGCACAAGCUUGGAACUUUAGGGAGGAUGCAAGCAUGGUCAAUAGAAAUCAGCCCGUAUUGUCUCAUUUAUCGACCUCAGACAACAAUUAAAGCACAUACCUUAGCCGACUUCAUAGCUGAAUGCUCCUUCAGCACAAUCGAGAAAGAACAGAGUAAUGCGCUAUCGACCUCAGAGAAAGAGGUAGGAAGCAAACCCUAGUAUAUAGGAUCUAUUUGUGGAUGGGGCAUCAAGUUCUACAAGUAGUGGGGUAGGAAUCCUUCUGAAAGGGCCUAAUGAAUUCAAAGUAUAUUAUACCUUAGGCUUUGGGUUACCAGCAUCCAAUAACAUGGUUAAGUAUGAAGCUCUUCUAAACGAAAUACAAAUAGCCUUGGAAGUAGGGGCAACUGACCUCAGAAUAAAUAGCGAUUCACAACUGAUAGUGAACCAAAUAAUAGGGGUAUACCAGGCAAAGGACCAGUCAUGCAAGAGUACUUAGCUAAAGUACGAGUCCUAGAAGCCGAGCUCGGUGAGCAAGGAAUUAUAGUUGAAUACCGAAGAAUACCUGGAGAGAAAAAUAAAGAAGCAGAUCUACUUAGUUAACUGUCUAUAGAAGAGUUAGAGCAACUCUUAGACAAAGUGUAUGUGCAGCAAAUUGAUGUUCCCACUUUUUGAAAAGCCAGCCUCUAUUAUGCAAGUCAAUGAAGAACGAAGCUGGAUGACCCCAUACCUUGAAUACCUUAAGGCUGCAAAAUUACCAGAAAACAAAGCAAAAGCUCAAAAAAUCACUGCUAAUUACCAGGCGAUAAGAGGGACUCUAUAUAGGAGAGGAAAGUCCAGCCUAUGGUUAAGGUGUGUAGGGCCGAAGGAGGCAUCCAAGAUAAUCCAAGAGAUACACUAGUGGGUCUGUAGAGUUCAUGAAGGAGCAACCACAUUGGCAAACAAGAUCUUUCGACAGGGGUAUUACUGGCCUACAGCGAAAAAAAAAGCCAGAGAAUUUGUGAAGAAAUGUGAUAUCUAUCAAAGGUUUGCUAAUGCCACCAAUAGUCUAAAUACACCACAGUUAAGUAUAUCAAGCCCGUGGCCGUUCUCACAGUGGGGGGACAGAAAUUUUGGAACCAUUCCCUAAUACUGUGGGACAGAAGAGGUUUGUGAUCGUGACUAUAGAAUACUUCUCCAAGUAGCCCGAGGCAGAGGCUGUGCUUACCAUUACGACCCAAAAAGUGAUAGAAUUUGUAUAGGGCAACAUACCUGCCAGUUUGGGAUACCCAGGACACUCAUAUCAGAUAACGGAAAGCAAUUUGACUGCAACUCUUUCCAAAAUUUCACAAGAAACAUGGAUAUAUAUGGUAUCAAUUUUCCUCAGUAGCUCAUCCACAGAUGAAUUACCAAACUGAUGUGAUGAAUCGACCUGUCCUCCAAGGGCUUAAAAACGAUUAGACGGUGCUAAAAAGAAUUGGGCAGCUGAAUUGCAUAGCAUCUUGUGGGUAUUAUGUAAUAGACCUUGGACAUCAACAGGGAAAACCUCGUUCACACUAGCAUUUGGGACAAAAGCUAUAGUUCCCAUAGAGCUUGUAAUGAUCUGGAAACCAGACCGCUACCGGCGCUAGGAUCCAGAUCGACUUAAGGUCGCCGGGACCCGUAGCAAGCCUACUAUACAUCAUGUACACCUGAUAAAAUCUCAUACAUAAUCAUACAUUUUCAUAAAAACUUUAAACUUUUCAUAUACCAAGCUUGACCUGUGCAUGCACUAAAACUGUAUACAUAAAACCCCUUACUGGAGCCCUCAUCAAAUGCUCCAGUUGGGUCAACAUCUCAUAUGUCAAGCCUGAUUCAACAUAUAUCAUCAUUAAAACAUUUCAUAAAGAUCAUGUACCAAAAGGGAUUAACCAUACAUUAGGGCCAAGCACAAUACUAAUCCUCAUUACAUUACUGAACAAUACCUUAUAUUACAUUACAAGUCCACUACUAAUCUAUUACAUAGACUAUACCAUAACCUUGCUGACUUUCCCAUAGCUACCUGAGCUCCUGCAAACCUGGGGGUUAGGGGAAAGGGGUGAGCUACAAAAGCCUAGUGAGCAGAAUAGUAAAAACAAUUUAAUAAACAUAUGCUUUCAUGGAAUGCAUCACAACACAAACAAUUUACAUCACGGAUGGACUGACCCAAAAAUCCCUCUACUCUGUGUCCGGCCCUAGAUGGAGCUCCUCAGGACUUCUAUUACAUAACAUAAGCUCUGUGCCAGGGGCGUAGUGCAGGCCACACCUGGUCUUUCCUGUACUCUGUGCCAGGGGCGUAGAAUGGCAGCCCUGGUCUUUCAUUACAUAACAUAAUAUCUAGAGGGCUAAUGGGUCGUCCUAUUAUCCAUCCACAUCAACAACCAAUUAUACAAUGCGGCAUAUUCGUGAAAUCUAAUGCAUCCAACCUAUUUUAUAUACAUGAUGCAUGAACAUGCUUAAAACAUUUGAUUUCUUGAAAUAAAAGAUUAGUUUAGUUCUACUCACCUCUGGCUGACUCUGAACUAACUCUGAAGCAGCUAUCUCACUGUUGGUCACCUCGGUUCCUCAGGUUUGAUCCUACACAGGUGGACUCAAAUGAGGGACCAAACAUACUCUAACAUGACUCUAAUAUCUCCCCAAAAAACCCCCUAAAACAUCAUAAACAUGCAUGGAAAAACAGGCAAAGGAAGACUGGGCAGGGGACUUUCGGCGGCAGGUUCGGCGACCAAAGGUCCCCACAGAGCCGAAAGUCAAGUACUUUCGGGGGCAGGGUUCAGUGGCCGAAGGUCCUUCCAGAGCCGAAAUUCACAACCUUCGGGGGCAGGUUCGGCGGCCGAAACUCCCCUCCAGAGCUGAAAGUACAAACUUUCGGGGGCGAGUUUAGGCGGCCAAAAUUGCCUCCCCUGGUAGGUUCGGCGGCUGAACCUUGCUUCGGCGGCCGAACCUGGAUCCUCCUGGGUGGCAGAACCCGAUUCUGCCAUCCCACAUUCAGCCAUCCCAACUUCCCAACAUGCAUUCAACUAGUCUAAAACAUGCAUAAACACUUAUUCAAGCAUAUAGGGGCAUAAAACUAGCCUAAACCCCAACAAACAUCAACAUAGCAUCACAUAAACAUACAUUUACCAUUUAACUAACAUAAACCCUAACAUUUUACAACUAGCCUAAAAAUGCAUCAAAACCCCUUAACCCUUCAUAAAACUUACUUAAAAACAUAAGAGAAGAUGAGGAUCGACACUUAUCUCUUAAAGAUCGAGAGGAGAUGCGAUCCCAAACUUAGAGAUAUGGAGGAACGAGCUCCGGGGGUCUCCAAGCUUCAAAACUUUGAUCUUAGCUUAAAAUCUUCAAAACAUGGUAAAAACUCAUAAAAAUCUUGAAGGAUUUGAGGAGAAAACACGAGAUCAUCAAGGGGGUGGCGGAGACUCACCUUGUCCGGAAAUAGAGCGAGAAAACUCACCCAUUUUCGGAUAGGGAACCUUUUAUAGGUGGCUGGCCAGACCACCUUUGGAGGCCAAAAGUGCCUCCGUAACUCCACCAUGUUCGGCGGCCGAAUCUGGGUUUCUCCUCCAAAAUAUUUUCUUUCAAAACUCAAUUUUCUUUCUUCAUUAAAACCAUAAAACAUAUCAAAACAUUUUAGAAAACCUUUAUUUUACCCUUCUAGAAGGCUCCGACAUCCGAGAAAUUCCAGAUUCCAAUGGAGAUUCCGCCGAAAGGUAGGAAUUCCGAUGCCGGGGUCUAGCUGGGUAUUACAGAGCUGCAGAUCCCCACUCACUAGGUUCAAUUCAAUGAUGAAAACAUCAGUGGUGAGAAAUUGAAGAGCAACUUGGAUACCCUAAAGAAAAUCAGGGAUGAAGCACAAGUGUGAACAACUGCUUAUCAGCAAAAAAGCAGCUUGGUACUACAACCAGAAAGUCUGGGAGAGAAACUUGAAGGUUAGGGACUUAGCCCUGAGGAUACUAGAAGCCACAGGAAAAGUGGUUGAUGUAGGAAAGCUAACACCAACCUAGGAAGGACCGUUUAGAGUCGCCAAAGUCAUCAGAUCGGGAGUAUAUAGAAUCGAAGAUUUGCAGGAGAAUCCAGAACCUCACGCCUGCAACAUCCAGUAUUUGAAGAGGUAGUUUCCAUAAGAUUUACAAUGUAACUAUUAUAGUGAGGAUAUGAAUAAAAAACUUCUUUUCUAUUCUCAAAAUACUCUUGAAAAGCGAUGAAGACCUCAAUGAGGUAAGUGACCAAUCUCAAAAAUAAGACCGCCGGUACUACAAAAUCGGUUGAGGAGAUGAAGACCUCAAUAAGAUAAGUGACUGGUCUCGAAAAUAAGACUGUCCACACCACAAAACUGAUUGAGGAGAUGAAUACCUCAAUGAGGUAGGUGACGGGUCUUGAAAAUAAGCUAGCCAGCACCACAAAGUUGGCCAGCACCAUAAAACUAGUUGAGGAGAUGAAGAGCUCAAUGAGGUAGGUGACCGGUCUUAGAAAUAAUAUCGUCGGCACCAUAAAAUUGAUUGAAGAGAUGAAGACCUUAAUGAGGUAAGUGAUUGGUCUCGAAAAUAGGCUGCCAACACCACAAAACCAAUUGAGAAAAUGAAGACCUCAAUGAGGUGGGUGAUCAAUCUUGGAAAUAGAUUGUCGACACUACAAAAUCGAUUGAGGAAAUGAAGACCUCAAUGAGGUGGGUGACUGGUCUCGAAAACAGACUGCUAGCACCACAAAACCAAUUGAGAAAAUAAAGACCUCAAUGAGGUGGAUGACUAGUCUCGAAAACAAAUCGCCGGCACCACAAAAUUGAUUGAGGAGUUAAAGACCAUGCUAAAGGCCCAUACUAGCAAAAAUAUAAGCCAAAAGAAAAAAAACCCAGGGUGUCGACCUCAUAAAAUGACCUCGGCACCAAGGCCCAUACUAGCAAAAAUAUAGGCCAAAAGAAAUAAAGGCAGGGUGCCGACCUCACAAAAUGACCUCGGCACCAAGGCCCAUAUUAGCAAAAACAUAAGCCAAAAGAAAUAAACGCAUGGUGUUGACCUCACAAUAAGACCUUGGCACUCUCAAGGCAAAACCAAAAUAAAACUAAGGCCAGGAACUGACUCCUGAAAUGGACCUCGAUCCUGUGAAUAUCAAAUUGCAAAUAAGGAAAAAAUACAACUUUGGAACAAUAUAAACCAAGACAGAGCUGCAUGAAAACUAAAGGCAAUCUUAGGAAAUGCCAACCUCAAAAACUAACCUCUAGCACUAAAUUAGCUCAAAGAAAGAGCUCACAACCCGACCAUCUAAAGGCACUAGAGGAGUAGAAGGCAUAAAAUCUAACGCGUUCAAUAAACAGAAUCCAAAACGCAAUAAGUUAUAUGUUUUUACUGGCAAAACAUCAAACGAGUGGCUAGCUCGGCAUUGCUCACAAACAAUAUAUGAAAAAAUAAUUUAAGUAUGGAAAUACAAACAAAAUCUAAAUAGACGGAAAAAUAAAAGCAAGCAACUGGAAAAUAACAAAAAGGUUCAGAAUUUUUAUUAAUCACUCUUUCCCUACACCAUUCGAAUGGGUUACAAAAGCAGCAAGGGAAGGGAGAGCAAAACUAACUAGGUCAUUUACAAGAUUGCCCUCCUGCAGUCCAAGGGGCAAGGAAGGGGGAUUCUUGAGCAGGGGAUUAUUGUCCUCUCUGUAGCAAACCUCCUCACAGUCGAAAUCGAGUUCGAGGGCUCAUAGGUCAGCCAAUGGAGUGGAGGGGGCAUCACAAGCAGCUUUGAGGCCCUGGUUAAAGCCUAAAGCGAACAUGCAAAAAGCCUCCUUAUAUAUUCUUUCCUUUAACUCUGCCAAGCCCUUAUACUCCUCCAACCGUGCUUCGCAAGCCUAUUGAAUUUUCUCCUUUAGCUCUGAGAGUCCUUGAACUCCUGCAGCCGCACUUCACAGGCCCACUGAACUCUGUCCUCUACAGCCCGAACAUCCCUUAAUAAGGAGGCACACCUCUCCUUUAUGGCAGAAACCUCUUGGCAGAGUUCCCGCUACUGAAGUCAAGACUCCUCCGCUGCUGAGGUCAUGCCCUUCAAGUCCUUGAUGUGUUUGUUAAGCUCAUGCUAGAGGACAGUAGCACAAGUCAAGGCCUCAUCGCGCUAUGCCCAAGCCUCAUCGCGUUGACGAUGAAUCUCCUCCAAAGCAGAUAACUGCAUGAGGGCUUCAUCUCGCUAAGACUCCACCGCAGAAGCCUGUUGGGAAGCUUUGGAAACCUCCUCCCUAUCUCCCCCAACUACUUGGUCAGGUCUUUGAUUUGCCUCCGGAACUCAAUAAUGUGCCCACGAGCCUCAUUAGUGGCAACCAGAUUCUCGUCCCGACAUGCCUCAGCAAUGCGCUCGUCCAUCAAGCUCUGGAGAGACCAAUUUCGAGCAUUGAUCUCCAUGAAUAUGCCAAAGGACUAUCAUACAAAAGAAAAAGUAAAGUUUGAAAAGCUAGAAACUCAAAAACGCUUUGAAAAAAGUCAAACAACUUACCAUGAGGAACAUCUCUCUUAAACUGUCCCCGAGAUCCUCUAGGGAACGCGAGCUAAAAGCCACCUGCUGCUUAGUGGCCCAAGUCAGAUGACUAAUGAGCGCCAUAAAACAAGGGUCAAAAGCAUCCAGGACCCCUCAAACAUCUUACUACUCAGCAUCUCAGCCACGAGAGCUGGCUUUGACUCUAUGGUCACCUCAAUCACAUUUAACAACUCAUUGUCUAGGUUAGACAACAAGUACAUUACCACCAUUUUCCCCUCAUCAAUGGGAAGGGAAAGGGCUGCCUCUAUAGGUUCUGAAGUCUGGGCACAUUUAGCAGCCCUGCCUUUGAUUGUGAUAGCACUCACAGCUUGAAUGGGUGGGACAUCCAAGGGAGCAGUUCUGAUGCCCUCUUUCUAGCUACUCUCAAUCAACUCGCUAAUCGCGAUAGGCUCUUUAGGAACUUCCUUUGGAGCGGAAGGAGCCUUGGAAGAAGCCGGCGCUUUAGGAGAGACCGACGUCUUAGAAGUCGUUGAACGAGAGCCUCUGACACGGGCACUAAAGCCAGAGAAGGUGCAGGGGUAGGAGCAGAAUGACAAGCUGAAGAUGCGAGAUCUGUGGCAUGAAAAACAUCUUUGGUCACAUCAGCUAUAGACUUGUUGGCCUCAAAGGCGGCCAGAGUCUCCUUCGCUCUCCUAGUAUAGAGUGAAGUCCUUGAAAAGCUUGAUGGAACCUAUUGGCAUGGCAGAAGCUGAAAAGGAAAUAUCAGUCCAGUCAGAGCUCGAAACAACAAAAGAAAAAUAUAAAAAGAAAGAAAACUAAAAAAAAUACCAGCUUUCCGACAGUCCUGCAGGUUAGACAUAAAUAUGCACUUCUCGGCGUCAUAUUUAUUCUUUACAUAGGUCAGUUGGAGAAAGCAAAUUCGGUCUACUAGACUUAACCUAGGAAGUUAUUACAGUCCUAAGGAAUUUCUCUCCAAGAGAGGUUGAUAUCCCAGUUAACCCUUGAGCUUUCCUUUCCUUUAGCUCGACAACCACAAAAUUAUCUACCCAACCUUUAAUCAAGUCCUUGUACCUUGUGAAUAUAAAUAACCUAGCCCGAGGACAAAAAUAGCAAAAUCCAUGGGUAGACCUAACUAGGUGGAAGAAAGUACAAACAACUCGAUAGAAAGGACAAAACUCUAACACAGACAGAUGGACUCAAAAUAGCACAUGAAUAGAAUAGAGUUAGGGGACAACAUUCGUGGAAUCACCCUAAAAUGACGGAAAACCUCGAUAAAGAAAAGGGUAAAAGGAAAGGUCAGCCUAAAGUCACGCUGUUUGACGAAAAAAACCAAGUUACCCCCUGCUGAGUGUCUAUCAGGUUCGUCGGCAGUGGGUAAGGGAGAACAAUUCAUUCAUUGGGCAAAGGAGCUCCAAUUUUAAAAAUAAUGGUGUUAGAAUAGUCACGGAAAAAAUAGUGUCAGAAGAAGGAAGGAGUAACAGAGGACACCAGACUCACUACAUUGGGAAUUCUAAUAGAAGCCAUGAGAGGAGUAAGACGUACCUCGAAUUAAAAAAUCAUGGAUUAUAGAGAAAAAAAAGAGCAAGAUAGCAGAAGCAGCGCAAGAGGCAGAGUAACGAGUGAAAGCAAGAGCAUAAGUUUGAAAUAGAUAAAGGUAAAGAAGAGACAUUUUGACAGAAUUCUUCUAGAGUCGUGCGAUAAUAAUUGAAAUCUCAAAAUUUACCCGCUCAUAAAUCAUGAGAUAAUUAAUAAGCAGGUAAAUGGGCAUUUGAUAACGACCGGGCCCUGGACGCUCAAGCUGUGGCUAAGCCCGGACUAGAAAGGCUGGGCCUUAGUUUUAUUAGGGUCCAAUACAUGGGCCUACUCCUUGUACAAGUCCUGGACUUGUCCUGACGAGUCGGCCAAGGCACGGACCUACAUGUGGGGGACCUAGCCUCAGAUAUCUGUUAGCCCCAUGGGGCAACAAACUCCGUGAUACUCAGAAUCGUGUCCAAAUAGUACCGGAUGGAAUUAAAUGGCCGUCUGACGAUAGGAAAGGAUGCAGUAUAUCUAUAUGUACGGUCAAUAUGACUAUGAUAGGAUUAUAUGAACGCAGAACAGCGGUUACACAUCGAUAGAAGAAAAAAAAGAAUAAAAAAAUAAAUUAUGAAAUAAUUAAUAAGCAGGUAAAGGGGCAGUUGAUAACGAUCGGGCCCUGGACGCUCAAGCCGUGGCUAAGCCCGAGCUAGAAAGACUGGGCCUUUGUUUUAUUAGGGUCCAAUACAUGGGCCUACUACUUGUACAAGUCAUGGACUUGUCCUGGCAAGUCGGCCAAGGCACGGACCUACAUGUGGGGGACCUGGCUUCAGAUAUCUGUUAGCCUCAUGGGGCAACAAACUCCGUGAUAUUCAGAAUCGUGUCCAAGUAGUACCGAAUGAAAUUAAAUGGCCGUCUGACGAUAGGAAAGAAUGCAGUAUAUCUAUAUGUACGGCUAAUAUGACUAUGAUAGGAUUAUAUGAACGCAGGACAACGGUUACACAUCGAUAGAGAAAAAAAAUAAAAAAAAAUAAAAGAAGAGAGACAAACCAAAUUUACUAAAAUAUAUUUUCAAUCUAAUCUCUUACGACGAUUAAUAUUUAUAAUAGAUAUAUAUGUCUCAACUUUUUAAGAAUAUUUGGCGAUCAAACACAAUAUGCAAUGAAAGAUUACAUACAAGUAAGAGGUGUGAUGUAGAUAUGUAGAGGAAGUGUAAAGUCACAAGAUAUAAUUUUAAAAAUAAAUAAAUAAAUAAAUAAUAUAUAUAUAUAUGACAGAUACGAAAAAGUAAUUUUGCAUUUUUUAUUUUGCCCCACUUGCCCACAAAGAAGGCAGUUUUCAUCUCUAUCCCUCCCUGAAUAAUUUUUCUGAUGACAGUUGAGGAAAUUUGGUAAGAUAUGAUUGUGUGGCUUUAAUGUUUUGUUUUUGUUGUGAAAGGGGCGAGGCAAAUGUUUUUGGGUCCACUAGCUUUUUUUUUCUUCUAAAUUGUCUAAAAGAGAGAUUUGUCAAACCAUGGUCGGUGGAGAAAGUUAUUUCGAAUUUUGGGGAGAGGAAAAAAAUUUCAGAUUCUUUUUCACUUUCAGAUUGGAUGGUUGAAUUUGUAUCAGCCGUAGUAUCAAGCUAUUAAUAAAAAAAUAAUAAUUUGUUUCAACAGUGCUAUCACGCUAUUAAUAAAAAAAUAAUAAUUUUUUUUAUAUCUAUUAAAAAUAUUAAUAUAAAAAUUAUAUUAUAAAAUAUUAAUUUAAUAUAAAUUAAAUUAUAUAUUCAAAAUAAAAAUAAGUGGCUUUUAAAAAAAUAAAAUAAAAAUAAGUAAAAUUACAAUAUAUUUUUUAUAUUUUUAAAUUAAUAAUUAUAUUUUAAUUAUUACUAUAUGUAUUUUUUAUGAUAUUAAAAAAUUACCGUUAUUUAUUAAAAAAAUAUUAUAUAUAUUAUUUUAAUGUAAUUUAAAUUAUAGAUUUUGAUAUAAAAAUUAGUGAAAAUACAGUAUUUGUUUUUUUUAAUAAAUAUUAAUUAAUUAUUAUAAAAGGAGGGGAAUUAAUUGAAAAAAAAAAAGAGUAGGGAAGAAAAUUUAAAACCAAAGAAGGAAAUGAGAAAAUAAAAGAAUGAGAGAAAAUGAGAUUGAGGAAAAUAAUCAACUAAUAAACAAUUAUCUUGUAUUGAAUACUUGCACCUAUCCUUACUGAUUGACUAAGAAACAAAGAAAACUUUAUUUUACUUACUGUCGUUUUCUGCAGACAUGAAUUCUCUUCUGAACAUCAAGGAAUCAGUCAGACUAUUUUAGAGAUUAUAAAGAUGAUGCAGUAGUGAAGGAAGAUUAUUCACAAACACCAUAGGAAAGCUUUUCUCACUUGUUUCUGGUGAUUUUCUUCAAUCAGUUCUUGGGGAAACAUGAGUUCAGCUCUUUCAACAGCUUCGGCCACCAGAAGGUAAAAUGACAAGCUGGCUUCUAAACUCUUUCAAUUUCUACAACAAUGAAAAAAAAAUUCAAAUACCCUUUUGCAGGCUAGAGGGCAAAGUAGCACUAAUUACUGGUGGAGCCAGUGGCAUAGGCGAGAGCACAGCUAGGCUAUUUAUCAAACAUGGAGCCAAGGUACUCAUCGCAGACGUUCAAGAUGAUCUUGGCCACUCACUCUGCCAAGAAUUCGACUCCCAAGAAACUCUCUCUUACAUCUACUGCGAUGUCACUUGUGAUUCUGAUGUUCAAAACGCUGUGGAUACUGCAGUCUCCAGGUAUGGAAAGCUCGACAUAAUGUUCAGCAAUGCAG